UUUUAACCUUCUCUCCGAAUGCAAACUCUAUAUUUUCUCAUUUUUCUCCCUUUUCUCUUACUUCUCCCACCUUUGAUUUUUCUUUCUAUUGUUUCUCUUUUUUUCUUUUCCUAUCUAAAUCAUCUUAGAUUUCCCCAGGCCUUUGGCAAUCAAUGAAUGGUGAAAAUAAUAGCAGCAACCAAUAUGGAAGAAUAAGAUGAACACAGCAUUACAACAUUGACAAUGCCCGAUUAAUCAGUUAUAGAUUGAAACCCUCUACCUUAAUACUAUCGUCGAUAUCUCCAUCACUGUUGUUUACAGUUGUGGAUAGCAUAAUUUUGCUUGUUACAAGGCCACAUUGAGAAUGUAUAACAUCUAAAGCAACAAUAGAGUACAACAAUACAACAAACAAAGUAAUCGUUAUUGUAGAGGCUUACAGGACUUUCAGGGAUAGAGGUCCUUAUCCUGCAGAUCAUGUUGUUAGGGUUCUUCAUUGAGAGUUUUUUCAUGGUCAAUGACAGCUCAUCAACAACUACCUUUUUAGCUGUUGAUAUGGAUGGGAGUGUUCCCUUCUUCUGAUGAAAAAAUGAAGCUAACAAGAAAAUUGUUAAAAUGGAUCAAGGUAAGAUGGCAAGACUGAUCGUAUCCAGGAACUAGCAGCAAUAAAUGUGACCCUCAAUGAACAAAGAGCUAGGAGUGAGAACUUGAAAAGCAUCAAGUUUGAUUUGGAUCUAAAAUCCACAAAUGACAUGGAUGCAGAUUUAGUAUCCAACUGAUGCAACUUGCUGGUUCAACAAGAACCGUCCGUGCUGGUUUAAAUUUUUUGGAAUUAGCGUAGUAUGAAAUUAGGCUUGUCAGAUUGAGAAACUACCGAUAUUGGAUUCAAAUGAUGUAUUUUUUUCUUUUAUGUUGUUGACACAAUUUUUUUACAUUGUCGAUU
Long non-coding RNA from Nicotiana attenuata, 919 nucleotides. RefSeq lists it as uncharacterized. The record is from RefSeq and is a predicted model, not a curated record. Lineage: Eukaryota; Viridiplantae; Streptophyta; Magnoliopsida; Solanales; Solanaceae. The transcript has 6 exons.